AAGCGCUUGCAAUCAGACUUGCCCGCGGUUGCUCAGCCGGUCUUCUGACCGGUGCACUCUUCCGCGGUCAGGCCAGCAUCAGUUUGGGCGGUCGGAUAAAGGCUUGGGGAAUGUGGCUCCCUCGGGAGUGUUAUAGCCCCUUGUGUAAUGCGGCCCGCCUGGACUGAGGUCCGCGCUUCGGCUAGGAUGCUGGCGUAAUGGUUGUAAGCGG
RNAcentral lists this ribosomal RNA (211 nucleotides) under Wiesneriomyces conjunctosporus. RNAcentral describes it as "partial large subunit ribosomal RNA". The record is from RNAcentral. Lineage: Eukaryota; Fungi; Ascomycota; Dothideomycetes; Tubeufiales; Wiesneriomycetaceae.